Molecule: ribosomal RNA, 433 nt
Filed under: uncultured bacterium
Lineage: Bacteria
Description: partial 16S ribosomal RNA
Rfam family: Bacterial small subunit ribosomal RNA
Source: RNAcentral
AACGAACGCUGGCGGCAUGCCUAACACAUGCCAGUCGAACGAGACCUUCGGGUCUAGUGGCGCACGGGUGCGUAACGCAUGGGAACCUGCCCUUAGGUUCGGAAUAACUCCCCGAAAGGGGUGCUAAUACCGGAUAAUGUCUUCGGACCAAAGAUUUAUCGCCUUUGGAUGGGCCCGCGUUGGAUUAGCUAGUUGGUAGGGUAAAAGCCUACCAAGGCGACGAUCCAUAGCUGGUCUGAGAGGAUGAUCAGCCACACUGGGACUGAGACACGGCCCAGACUCCUACGGGAGGCAGCAGUGGGGAAUAUUGGACAAUGGGCGAAAGCCUGAUCCAGCAAUGCCGCGUGAGUGAUGAAGGCCUUAGGGUUGUAAAGCUCUUUUACCCGGGAUGAUAAUGACAGUACCGGGAGAAUAAGCGCCGGCUAACUCCGUG